This 301-nucleotide ribosomal RNA is filed under the name uncultured bacterium. RNAcentral describes it as "partial 16S ribosomal RNA". It matches the Rfam family "Bacterial small subunit ribosomal RNA", at positions 509 to 807 of the family's 1533-position model. The record is from RNAcentral.
CAGCCGCCGCGGGAAUACGUAGGUGGCAAGCGUUGUCCGGAAUUAUUGGGCGUAAAGGGCUCGCAGGCGGUUUCUUAAGUCUGAUGUGAAAGCCCCCGGCUCAACCGGGGAGGGUCAUUAGAAACUGGGAAACUUGAGUGCAGAAGAGGAGAGUGGAAUUCCACGUGUAGCGGUGAAAUGCGUAGAGAUGUGGAGGAACACCAGUGGCGAAGGCGACUCUCUGGUCUGUAACUGACGCUGAGGAGCGAAAGCGUGGGGAGCGAACAGGAUUAGAUACCCCAGUAGUCCCUGUCUCUUAUAC